Molecule: non-coding RNA, 68 nt
Filed under: Chryseobacterium sp.
Lineage: Bacteria; Pseudomonadati; Bacteroidota; Flavobacteriia; Flavobacteriales; Weeksellaceae
Description: Fluoride sequence
Rfam family: Fluoride riboswitch aptamer (crcB RNA motif)
Source: RNAcentral
UGUAAACAGGGAAAUGGUGUUCUUCCUUACCCAACCGCUUUAGCAAAGCUGAUGACGCCUGAUUAAUU